GUUGUAAGGUUAAGAAAUUAAGCGUACACGGUGGAUGCCUAGGCAAUCAGAGGCGAUGAAGGACGUGUUAAUCUGCGAAAAGCGACGGUAAGCCGAUAAAAGGCGCUAUAGCCGUUGAUGUCCGAAUGGGGAAACCCAGUGUAGGUGACUACACUAUCAUCUGAUGAAUACAUAGUCAGAUGAGGCGAACCGGGAGAACUGAAACAUCUAAGUACCCCGAGGAAAAGAAAUCAACCGAGAUUCCCUAAGUAGCGGCGAGCGAAAGGGGAGUAGCCCAAGCGGGUAGCAUAAUGUAUUAGUGGAAGCGUCUGGAAAGUCGCACGAUAGAGGGUGAAAGUCCCGUACACGAAGAUGCAUUAUGUGGAAGCUUAUAGAGUAGGGCGGGACACGUGAUAUC
RNAcentral lists this ribosomal RNA (397 nucleotides) under Gilliamella apicola. RNAcentral describes it as "bacterial LSU rRNA". It matches the Rfam family "Bacterial large subunit ribosomal RNA", at positions 1 to 433 of the family's 2925-position model. RNAcentral also lists the same sequence under 1 other name. The record is from RNAcentral. Lineage: Bacteria; Pseudomonadati; Pseudomonadota; Gammaproteobacteria; Orbales; Orbaceae.